RNAcentral lists this ribosomal RNA (496 nucleotides) under uncultured bacterium. RNAcentral describes it as "partial 16S ribosomal RNA". It matches the Rfam family "Bacterial small subunit ribosomal RNA", at positions 28 to 506 of the family's 1533-position model. The record is from RNAcentral.
GAUGAGCGCUGGCGGCGUGCCUAAUACAUGCAAGUCGAGCGAACGGACGAGAAGCUUGCUUUUCUGAUGUUAGCGGCGGACGGGUGAGUAACACGUGGAUAACCUACCUAUAAGACUGGGAUAACUUCGGGAAACCGGAGCUAAUACCGGAUAAUAUUUUGAACCGCAUGGUUCAAAAGUGAAAGACGGUCUUGCUGUCACUUAUAGAUGGAUCCGCGCUGCAUUAGCUAGUUGGUAAGGUAACGGCUUACCAAGGCAACGAUGCAUAGCCGACCUGAGAGGGUGAUCGGCCACACUGGAACUGAGACACGGUCCAGACUCCUACGGGAGGCAGCAGUAGGGAAUCUUCCGCAAUGGGCGAAAGCCUGACGGAGCAACGCCGCGUGAGUGAUGAAGGUCUUCGGAUCGUAAAACUCUGUUAUUAGGGAAGAACAUAUGUGUAAGUAACUGUGCACAUCUUGACGGUACCUAAUCAGAAAGCCACGGCUAACUACGU